This 459-nucleotide ribosomal RNA is filed under the name uncultured bacterium. RNAcentral describes it as "partial 16S ribosomal RNA". It matches the Rfam family "Bacterial small subunit ribosomal RNA", at positions 338 to 795 of the family's 1533-position model. The record is from RNAcentral.
CCUACGGGAGACAGCAGUGAGGAAUAUUGGUCAAUGGCCGGAAGGCUGAACCAGCCAAGCCGCGUGAAGGACGAAGGUGCCAAGCAUUGUAAACUUCUUUUGUCAAGGGACAAAAUCAGGCUCGAGAGCCUGACCGAGGGUACUUGAAGAAAAAGCAUCGGCAAACCCCGUGCCAGCAGCCGCGGUAAUACGGAGGAUGCGAGCGUUAUCCGGAUUUAUUGGGUUUAAAGGGUGCGUAGGCGGGCUGUUAAGUCAGCGGGAAAAGCCCGGGGCUCAACCCCGGCGAGCCGUUGAAACUGGCUGUCUUGAGAUGUCGAGAGGUAUGCGGAAUGCGCAGUGUAGCGGUGAAAUGCUUAGAUAUUGCGCAGAACUCCGAUUGCGAAGGCAGCAUACCGGCGGCGAUCUGACGCUGAGGCACGAAAGCGUGGGUAUCGAACAGGAUUAGAUACCCCAGUAGUC